CAAAGUGUGGGGAUUACAGGCGUGAGCCCCCACGCCUGGCCCUGGAAAUAACCUUCUUUUGACCAGAAGGCACUUGGUAAGAGGCUUCCUUGGUGAGUCCUGGCUUGGGGCUGCUUCUUCCUGCUGGUCUUGUGCCCUACUUGCUUGGAAGCCCCCCUCCCCGGCCUCUCCCUUCCUAGAACUCCGAGCCACAGACAAGUGCCCAGAACAUUACCCUGAGAUUUUCAAAGAAGACAGAGAAGAAUAGGAAAAUGAAAAAACGCAAAUGUAAGUCUGUGGGGAUGGAAUUAAUUAAAAGGAAAAAAUAAUACGAAGGCCAAGGAGGGGAGAGAGGGUGAGAAACAACAAAAACUCAUUUACAGCCAACAGAGAUCAUCUGAGGGAAAACAAAGAAUGGAACCCAAAUGAAAGAUUCCUGUGCAAGUCUAGGGAGAAGACUUGGGGAUGUGCAGGGAGAGAAAAGGACGCAGUGAUUAAUAAAACAGAGGGGAAAAUGAAAAUGCAACACAAAGCCCUCGGGUUCUACAUACAAGCCAAGGUACAUAUGCCAAUAAAAGCAGGGAAAUGGGGAACAAAGGAUGUCAUAGCAACCUCAAGGAGCCCUGUUGUGCUACCGACUGCAGAGCUCAUGGACAUCCAUCAGGAAGCCUCCAAUACCCAAACCAGAGACAGAGGAGCAAAAGGACCUCUCCUUGUGUGAUGCUGGCUAACAUCCCACUGGCCAAAACAGGUUACAUGUUAGGUGCAAAGGGGUAGUUGCCUAAUCCAUAUCCAUGUGGAUAGCUCUUUACUUAGGAAACCUUGAUGGCUUAUUUGGAUGACAAAGAUAUAAGAACUGGUACUGAAGCAGCCAUCUUGUGACCAUAAGGAAGAAGCCAAGAACAUCAGAACCAGUGGCCUAGCCAUUGCACAGUCAUCUAAACACACCUCUGGACUUGUUAUUAUGUAAAAAAAAAUAAACACCUGCUCUUGUUAUUUGCAAUUCAACAUAAUCGUAACUUACAUAAUAUUUAUCAAAUUGAUACAAAUAAGAAAUAAAUUACUUGGGAAUAAAAUUUCCAGUAGUUUGUCAAGCAUCUCCAAUCUUCUGAUUUCUUUAUUUCCCAUUGCAUUUUUCCCCAAUAAAUAUUCAUCUUCAAUACUCAAGAGUCUUCGUUAUGUCAGAGGGAAGUUGCUCUGAAGCUAAAAUCACAAUAGAAAAAUAUAUCCAGAGGUAUAGGCCUGUAUCCCCCAGCAGUUUCUUUCUUUGGUUAUGUCAUCUAUUGUCAGGGCAUAUCAACAAAACACAACGAAUGGUCGGAUGUGGCUGUCCUUGGUCAUGAUC
RNAcentral lists this long non-coding RNA (1324 nucleotides) under Homo sapiens (human). RNAcentral's name for it is "HSALNT0401828". The record is from RNAcentral. Lineage: Eukaryota; Metazoa; Chordata; Mammalia; Primates; Hominidae.